CUUGCUGCGUGGGGAAGGAGAAAAAGAAAAAGGUGACAGUGUGCAGCCUCAUCCCCAGAGUGCCAAGCAAAGCACCUCUGGCCCUAAACUCGCAUGCCCUUCUCAGUCAGAAGCAAAGCCCUGCAGCUGGUCUGAUCUACUUUGCUCAGGUGCCACGAAGUGCAGCUCAAAUGCACAGCAGCCAGAAACACAGCCACUUCUCUGGAGGCCUCUCAAGCUUCUAGUCCCUUUCCCUCACCCUUACUGGAUAUCUGGCAACGUCUAGAGACACCGUUGGUCACCGUAAGGAAAAUCCUAUUGACGUCUACUGAGUCGAGGCCAGGGGUGCUUCUAGACAUUCUGCGAUGCACAGAACAGCUGCCACAAUGAGAAUUAUCCAACCCAGAAUGCCAAGAGCCAAGACUAUACCUACUGGGACACUU
Mustela erminea (ermine) is the source of this 422-nucleotide long non-coding RNA. RefSeq lists it as uncharacterized. The transcript is spliced from 3 exons. The record is from RefSeq and is a predicted model, not a curated record. NCBI's taxonomy places the organism in Eukaryota, Metazoa, Chordata, Mammalia, Carnivora, Mustelidae.